UACGAAGGGUGCAAGCGUUACUCGGAAUUACUGGGCGUAAAGGGUGCGUAGGUGGUUUUUUAAGUCCGUUGUGAAAUCCCUGGGCUCAACCUGGGAAUGGCAGUGGAUACUGGAAAGCUAGAGUGCGGUAGAGGGUAGUGGAAUUCCCGGUGUAGCGGUGAAAUGCGUAGAGAUCGGGAGGAACACCGGUGGCGAAGGCGGCUACCUGGACCAGCACUGACACUGAGGCACGAAAGCGUGGGGAGCAAACAGG
This 253-nucleotide ribosomal RNA is filed under the name uncultured bacterium. Its description in RNAcentral is "partial 16S ribosomal RNA". It matches the Rfam family "Bacterial small subunit ribosomal RNA", at positions 524 to 776 of the family's 1533-position model. The record is from RNAcentral.